UUGAAGCUGAAAUAGAUAGAAAUCAAGGAUUCAUAGAAAGCUGAAAAUUGAGCCACGGUUUCAUUGUGGUUAAGCCUGAGAUGAAUCUUUAGAUAUGAGUAAUUAAUUUCAUUGUGGUUAAGCCUGAGAUGAAUCUUUUGUAAGCUAUAUAUGACCAUGUAUGAAUUGACUAAAGACUUUGAAUGACUACUAACCACAACUUCCCUAGAUUAAUGGUACAUGCAAGCAUAGUGCAAGGAGUGGUCUUUGUGUGGCCAAAAAUUGCAAAAUGGAAAAGUUACUCAAAACUCGAAAGUAAUAUUGACUUGAAUCAGAAAAUAGUAAAGCGUGUUUCACCACGGUUCCAAGAAAAAAAACACUUAAAGUCUCAAAGUUAUCUUAUUUAUACACACCCUUAUGUAUAUACCUCAUAAUAACAAAUUCAAUAAGAGUAAAAGAUUAAUACAAAA
This is a long non-coding RNA of Medicago truncatula (barrel medic), 449 nucleotides long. RefSeq lists it as uncharacterized. Lineage: Eukaryota; Viridiplantae; Streptophyta; Magnoliopsida; Fabales; Fabaceae. The transcript has 3 exons. The record is from RefSeq and is a predicted model, not a curated record.